UGGGGAAUAUUGGACAAUGGGGGGAACCCUGAUCCAGCCAUGCCGCGUGUGUGAAGAAGGCCUUAUGGUUGUAAAGCACUUUAAGCGAGGAGGAGGGUACUGGUAUUAAUACUACCAGGUACUGGACGUUACUCGCAGAAUAAGCACCGGCUAACUCUGUGCCAGCAGCCGCGGUAAUACAGAGGGUGCGAGCGUUAAUCGGAUUUACUGGGCGUAAAGCGUGCGUAGGCGGCUAAUUGAGUCGGAUGUGAAAUCCCCGAGCUUAACUUGGGAAUUGCAUUCGAUACUGGUUAGCUAGAGUGUGGGAGAGGAUGGUAGAAUUCCAGGUGUAGCGGUGAAAUGCGUAGAUAUCUGGAGGAAUACCGAUGGCGAAGGCAGCCAUCUGGCCUAACACUGACGCUGAGGUACGAAAGCAUGGGGAGCAAACAGG
Molecule: ribosomal RNA, 430 nt
Filed under: Pseudomonadota bacterium
Lineage: Bacteria; Pseudomonadati; Pseudomonadota
Description: Proteobacteria bacterium partial 16S ribosomal RNA
Rfam family: Bacterial small subunit ribosomal RNA
Source: RNAcentral